RNAcentral lists this non-coding RNA (28 nucleotides) under Rattus norvegicus (Norway rat). The record is from RNAcentral. Lineage: Eukaryota; Metazoa; Chordata; Mammalia; Rodentia; Muridae.
UGCUACUACAGUGAAAAGCUGGCUCUGC